ACGACACUUUAUUCUAUGGUACACUCUAGAUCCGGCCAACUAGAAAAGAUAUGGAAAAGAUCACACACACAAAAAAACACAGCGACACGCGCGUGCGCGUUCUUUAUUCUAUGCGCUCGCUCGCGCGCAUAGAAUAAUUUGCAGUGUGCUAUGUGUUGCAUAGAAUAUGCAGUGUGCAAAUUUUCUAGCAUAACGAGUUUGUUUGUCCUGCCACCAUUCCUUCAGACGUCGCUUCGUCUCUGGUUGUCAAGUAGUUCAAAUGCACUCUAGUUUCAACCGUCCGUACUGCUCAUUGCGUUUAUGUCAGGAUAUAGCACGCAUAGAGUUUCGUACUGUUGCCAGGCCGCUGCUAUGGUGCCAUCGUCCCAUGUCGAAGCAGUGCACGUAGCAGUCGAACAGUGCUUUCUAGCCUCUUUAGUCCUACGGUGCUACGCAGUGCAUAUGAAACUUGCGGAUACCAUCACCAUGGACCAUGCCAUGGACCAAAACGUUCCCAUGGACACAAGAUGAUGCUUUCAGCUAUGAUGGACCGGCGCCCUCCAUCUGCUCGGUGCUCGCCCGGAAUGUAACGAGGGGCUUCUGUUGCCAAGUUACAGGAGAACCCCCCCGAGUGGAAGGAAAAUCUCCCUCCAAGAUGCUGCUGGGCUAUCAGCUACGUUUGUGCUUGGACAUGUCCUGCUUGGACAUGUACUUCUGUCCUGCUCAGGACCAGGAGCCAGAACAGGUUUACAAUAAAGGAUGAAUCUACAUUUAUACUUUC
Dermacentor albipictus is the source of this 760-nucleotide long non-coding RNA. RefSeq lists it as uncharacterized. The record is from RefSeq and is a predicted model, not a curated record. Lineage: Eukaryota; Metazoa; Arthropoda; Arachnida; Ixodida; Ixodidae.